AGGGACUCUCUUUCUCUCUUUCCCUUUCCUAACUCACAUCUUUCAACUUUAUCAUUUCAAUUACUUCCCUUUAUCAUUUCAAUUACUUCCCUUCCAAGUCUCUCAUUCCCUACAAUUACAAUUUCCCCUAACUCAAUCACUCACCAUCUAUAACUUUCUUCCUAUUCAAUUAAGUUAAUAUGUACUCUUUACUCUGUUUAUAUAUAUAUAUAUAUAUAUUAAAGAUUUCAC
RNAcentral lists this long non-coding RNA (231 nucleotides) under Cucumis sativus (cucumber). RNAcentral's name for it is "long non-coding RNA (CSAT_LNC002389)". Lineage: Eukaryota; Viridiplantae; Streptophyta; Magnoliopsida; Cucurbitales; Cucurbitaceae. The record is from RNAcentral.